This is a long non-coding RNA of Oncorhynchus mykiss (rainbow trout), 2802 nucleotides long. The record is from Ensembl. Lineage: Eukaryota; Metazoa; Chordata; Actinopteri; Salmoniformes; Salmonidae.
AUGAGGCAGGGGAGGCUAUAUACAGGGUAUUACGGUACAGAGUCAAUGUGGAGACUAUAUACAGGGGGUACCGGUACAGAGUCAAUGUGGAGGCUAUAUACAGGGGGUACCGGUACAGAGUCAAUGUGGAGGUUAUAUACAGGGGGUACCGGUACAGAGUCAAUGUGGAGGCUAUAUACAGGGGGUACCGGUACAGAGUCAAUGUGGAGGCUAUAUACAGGGGGUACUGGUACAGAGUCAAUGUGGAGGCUAUAUACAGGGGGUACUGGUACAGAGUCAAUGUGGAGGCUAUAUACAGGGGGUACCGGUACAGAGUCAAUGUGGAGGCUAUAUACAGGGGGUACCGGUACAGAGUCAAUGUGGAGGCUAUAUACAGGGGGUACCGGUACAGGGUCAAUGUGGAGGCUAUAUACAGGGGGUACCGGUACAGGGUCAAUGUGGAGGCUAUAUACAGGGGGUACCGGUACAGAGUCAAUGUGGAGGCUAUAUACAGGGGGUACCGGUACAGAGUCAAUGUGGAGGCUAUAUACAGGGGGUACCGGUACAGAGUCAAUGUGGAGGCUAUAUACAGGGGGUACCGGUACAGAGUCAAUGUGGAGGCUAUAUACAGGGUAUUACGGUACAGAGUCAAUGUGGAGGCUAUAUACAGGGGGUACUGGUACAGAGUCAAUGUGGAGGCUAUAUACAGGGGCUACUGGUACAGAGUCAAUGUGGAGGCUAUAUACAGGGGAUACCGGUACAGAGUCAAUGUGGAGGCUAUAUACAGGGGGUACCGGUACAGAGUCAAUGUGGAGGCUAUAUACAGGGUAUUACGGUACAGAGUCAAUGUGGAGGCUAUAUACAGGGGGUACCAGUACAGAGUCAAUGUGGAGGCUAUAUACAGGGGGUACCAGUACAGAGUCAAUGUGGAGGCUAUAUACAGGGUAUUACGGUACAGAGUCAAUGUGGAGGCUAUAUACAGGGGGUACUGGUACAGAGUCAAUGUGGAGGCUAUAUACAGGGGCUACUGGUACAGAGUCAAUGUGGAGGCUAUAUACAGGGGGUACCGGUACAGAGUCAAUGUGGAGACUAUAUACAGGGGGUACCAGUACAGAGUCAAUGUGGAGGCUAUAUACAGGGUGUACCGGUACAGAGUCAAUGUGGAGGCUAUAUACAGGGUAUUACGGUACAGAGUCAAUGUGGAGGCUAUAUACAGGGUAUUACGGUACAGAGUCAAUGUGGAGGCUAUAUACAGGGGGUACUGGUACAGAGUCAAUGUGGAGGCUAUAUACAGGGGCUACUGGUACAGAGUCAAUGUGGAGGCUAUAUACAGGGGAUACCGGUACAGAGUCAAUGUGGAGACUAUAUACAGGGGGUACCAGUACAGAGUCAAUGUGGAGGCUAUAUACAGGGGGUACCGGUACAGAGUCAAUGUGGAGGCUAUAUACAGGGUAUUACGGUACAGAGUCAAUGUGGAGGCUAUAUACAGGGGGUACCGGUACAGAGUCAAUGUGGAGGCUAUAUACAGGGUAUUACGGUACAGAGUCAAUGUGGAGGCUAUAUACAGGGUAUUACGGUACAGAGUCAAUGUGGAGGCUAUAUACAGGGGGUACCGGUACAGAGUCAAUGUGGAGGCUAUAUACAGGGUAUUACGGUACAGAGUCAAUGUGGAGGCUAUAUACAGGGUAUUACGGUACAGAGUCAAUGUGGAGGCUAUAUACAGGGUAUUACGGUACAGAGUCAAUGUGGAGGCUAUAUACAGGGGGUACCGGUACAGAGUCAAUGUGGAGGCUAUAUACAGGGGGUACCGGUACAGAGUCAAUGUGGAGGCUAUAUAAAGGGGGGUACCGGUACAGAGUCAAUGUGGAGCUAUAUACAGGGGGUACCGGUACAGAGUCAAUGUGGAGGCUAUAUACAGGGGGUACCGGUACAGAGUCAAUGUGGAGCUAUAUACAGGGGGUACCGGUACAGAGUCAAUGUGGAGGCUAUAUACAGGGGGUACCGGUACAGAGUCAAUGUGGAGGCUAUAUACAGGGGGUACCGGUACAGAGUCAAUGUGGAGCUAUAUACAGGGGGUACCGGUACAGAGUCAAUGUGGAGGCUAUAUACAGGGGGUACCGGUACAGAGUCAAUGUGGAGCUAUAUACAGGGGGUACCGGUACAGAGUCAAUGUGGAGGCUAUAUACAGGGGGUACCGGUACAGAGUCAAUGUGGAGGCUAUAUACAGGGGGUACCGGUACAGAGUCAAUGUGGAGGCUAUAUACAGGGGGUACCGGUAGAGAGUCAAUGUGGAGCUAUAUACAGGGGGUACCGGUACAGAGUCAAUGUGGAGGCUAUAUACAGGGGGUACCGGUACAGAGUCAAUGUGGAGGCUAUAUACAGGGGGUACCGGUACAGAGUCAAUGUGGAGGCUAUAUACAGGGUAUUAUGGUACAGAGUCAAUGUGGAGGCUAUAUACAGGGGGUACCGGUACAGAGUCAAUGUGGAGGCUAUAUACAGGGGGUACCGGUACAGAGUCAAUGUGGAGGCUAUAUACAGGGUAUUAUGGUACAGAGUCAAUGUGGAGGCUAUAUACAGGGGGUACCGGUACAGAGUCAAUGUGGAGGCUAUAUACAGGGGUACCGGUACAGAGUCAAUGUGGAGGCUAUAUACAGGGGGUACUGGUACAGAGUCAAUGUGGAGGCUAUAUACAGGGGGUACCGGUACAGAGUCAAUGGGGAGGCUAUAUACAGGGGGUACCGGUACAGAGUCAAUGUGGAGGCUAUAUACAGGGGGUACCGGUACAGAGUCAAUGUGGAGGCUAUAUACAGGGGGUACCGGUAG